GACGAACGCUGGCGGCGUGCUUAACACAUGCGAGUCGAACGGAAAGGCCCUGCUUUUGUGGGGUGCUCGAGUGGCGAACGGGUGAGUAACACGUGAGUAACCUGCCCUUGACUUUGGGAUAACUUCAGGAAACUGGGGCUAAUACCAGAUAGGAGCUCCUGCUGCAUGGUGGGGGUUGGAAAGUUUCGGCGGUUGGGGAUGGACUCGCGGCUUAUCAGCUUGUUGGUGGGGUAGUGGCUUACCAAGGCUUUGACGGGUAGCCGGCCUGAGAGGGUGACCGGCCACAUUGGGACUGAGAUACGGCCCAGACUCCUACGGGAGGCAGCAAUGGGGAAUAUUGCACAAUGGGCGGAAGCCUGAUGCAGCAACGCCGCGUGCGGGAUGACGGCCUUCGGGUUGUAAACCGCUUUCGCCUGUGACGAAGCGUGAGUGACGGUAAUGGGUAAAGAAGCACCGGCUAACUACGUG
This 468-nucleotide ribosomal RNA is filed under the name uncultured bacterium. RNAcentral's name for it is "partial 16S ribosomal RNA". It matches the Rfam family "Bacterial small subunit ribosomal RNA", at positions 28 to 507 of the family's 1533-position model. The record is from RNAcentral.